UACGAAGGGGGCUAGCGUUGUUCGGAUUUACUGGGCGUAAAGCGCACGUAGGCGGAUUGUUAAGUGAGGGGUGAAAUCCCAGGGCUCAACCCUGGAACUGCCUUUCAUACUGGCAAUCUCGAGUCCGGAAGAGGUGAGUGGAACUCCUAGUGUAGAGGUGGAAUUCGUAGAUAUUAGGAAGAACACCAGUGGCGAAGGCGGCUCACUGGUCCGGUACUGACGCUGAGGUGCGAAAGCGUGGGGAGCAAACAGG
This 253-nucleotide ribosomal RNA is filed under the name uncultured bacterium. RNAcentral's name for it is "partial 16S ribosomal RNA". It matches the Rfam family "Bacterial small subunit ribosomal RNA", at positions 524 to 776 of the family's 1533-position model. RNAcentral also lists the same sequence under 2 other names. The record is from RNAcentral.